UGAGUAACACGUGGGCAACCUACCCAGAAGACCGGGAUAACGGCUCGAAAGGGCCGCUAAUACCGGAUAAUGUCGGGGUACCGCAUGGUACUCCGAAUAAAGGGGAAACCCGCUUUUGGAUGGGCCCGCGUCCCAUCAGCUAGUUGGUGAGGUAACGGCUCACCAAGGCGACGACGGGUAGCCGGUCUGAGAGGAUGGUCGGCCACACUGGGACUGAGACACGGCCCAGACUCCUACGGGAGGCAGCAGUUGGGAAUCUUGGGCAAUGGGCGAAAGCCUGACCCAGCGACGCCGCGUGAGGGAAGAAGGCCUUCGGGUCGUAAACCUCUGUCAUGGGGGAAGAAGCAAGUGACGGUACCCCAAGAGGAAGCCCCUGCUAACUACGUGCCAGCAGCCGCGGUAAUACGUAGGGGGCGAGCGUUGUCCGGAUUUACUGGGCGUAAAGGGCGAGUAGGCGGUCUGUUAAGUCAGGUGUGAA
This 478-nucleotide ribosomal RNA is filed under the name uncultured bacterium. Its description in RNAcentral is "bacterial SSU rRNA". It matches the Rfam family "Bacterial small subunit ribosomal RNA", at positions 107 to 598 of the family's 1533-position model. The record is from RNAcentral.